AUUGAACGCUGGCGGCAGGCCUAACACAUGCAAGUCGAGCGGAUGAAGGGAGCUUGCUCCUGGAUUCAGCGGCGGACGGGUGAGUAAUGCCUAGGAAUCUGCCUGGUAGUGGGGGAUAACGUCCGGAAACGGGCGCUAAUAUCGCAUACGUCCUGAGGGAGAAAGUGGGGGAUCUUCGGACCUCACGCUAUCAGAUGAGCCUAGGUCGGAUUAGCUAGUUGGUGGGGUAAAGGCCUACCAAGGCGACGAUCCGUAACUGGUCUGAGAGGAUGAUCAGUCACACUGGAACUGAGACACGGUCCAGACUCCUACGGGAGGCAGCAGUGGGGAAUAUUGGCCAAUGGGCGAAGGCCUGAUCCAGCCCUGCCGCGUGUGUGAAGAAGGUCUUCGGAUUGUAAAGCACUUUAAGUUGGGAGGAAGGGCAGUAAGUUAAUACCUUGCUGUUUUGACGUUACCAACAGAAUAAGCACCGGCUAACUUCGUG
This 484-nucleotide ribosomal RNA is filed under the name uncultured bacterium. RNAcentral describes it as "partial 16S ribosomal RNA". It matches the Rfam family "Bacterial small subunit ribosomal RNA", at positions 30 to 507 of the family's 1533-position model. The record is from RNAcentral.